Molecule: long non-coding RNA, 3654 nt
Filed under: Olea europaea subsp. europaea
Lineage: Eukaryota; Viridiplantae; Streptophyta; Magnoliopsida; Lamiales; Oleaceae
Source: RNAcentral
UUUCUACUUCCCAACCAUCCCCUCCCCUCUUCUCAACACAUGCACACACAGCCUCAACCACUUCUACCGUCGAGAAUCCUGUUGCCACCGUUGAGGUUUCCCUUUCCACCGUUGUUGGCACCACUUCCUCCGUUGAGAACCCUAGCAAAUCUGUCGCAUCUUUGGCCGUUGUUGCAAUCAGUUCUUCUGCAACAACCACAGCCUUGACCCACUUUCUUUCCCAAUUAUUGCUUUCUGUUUCCCCUUCCCCAAUUCUCUUGCUCUACUAGAUCUGAUCUCAAAGAAGCUAGAGGUAGCUGUUCCAGAUCUCUCUUACGAUUACUCAAGCGUAUAUAUGCUUUUGAUGAUUUGAUAUAGUUGCUUUUAUUGUAUUGUGAUUUGAAUAUGUAUCUUUGUGGAAUAGAAUAGUUUCUUAAAGGUUUUUCUCCAGCAAAUGAACUGAUUCAGUGUAAUUUCAAUUUAUGACUGCAAAAGCAUGUGAUAAAAUCAUAAAGAAUUAAAUUUCGUAGGAUUCUUGAUGUUCAGUGAUCUGCUCCUUUUGUUAUUGUUGCUUUUGACUUGAGUUUUCCCCCUUUUUUCUCCAAGAUGGUGGUUUUGGUUGAAGGAAUAAUGGAGCUCAUUUGAUAGGUUUAAAUUCGUUUUGCCUGUGAGUAUGAUACAAGUUGGAUUUAUGUGAUAAAAGUGGCGAAUAUAACUAUGUUAUCUGGAGUGCACAUUCGAAAGAGUAUGGCAUGUUUGGGAUGGUGGACUAGGCUGCCGAAUCAUUAUUAAUUGAAAAAAAAAGGUAGUUAAAAUCUUAAUGAUUGUAGUGAUAAGUCCUAUUUAGUACCACAAAAAUUUAUAAUGAUGGAGUAGACAUUUUAUGCACUAGCAGCGUGAAUUCUUUGUUGACACAAAAAGCCUUCCUAGUCUACAAUGAUGCACUACUUCAUGAGUUAGAUAGGAGUGUAGUACACGUGGCACACUUUUAUCUGCACUUCAAGUAUUCGUUGGCUUUUGUCUGUUUUGGCAUUUGAAUUUUUGAAAAGAAAAUGGAGAGACCUCAGCAUAGGAAGUCCAAGAAUGCUACAAGCAUUGAAGGUAAAAAAAUUCCAUCUCUCGUUCUACGACUAUAUAUUUUGAUAGAAUAUUUUUUCAAUGGUUAAGCACUUUGGUCUUUCGUGAAGACAAAUUUUGUUUUGGUUUCGUUCGAGGAGUGUAAGAGACUAAAAGUUUUGAUUUUCCUUUUUGCUUGAGGUUGGUUUAAUGAGUUUUGUAUUUGAAGAUAAUUCGAUAAUGAAAGAAAAAGGGAAAAUAUUGAAUUUGUUCUUCUUUGGUUUGUUUUCCAUUUAGGAGAAAUUUGAAAUGAAAAGCUUUGGAUCUCUGAAAAUGAAAAGGAAAAUCAAAAUUCUCAGUUUUUGUUCCCCUUCACUAUGAUGGCUUUAUAAAAAAUUAUGAAGUCUAAAAUUUCAGAAAAUUGGUAGUAUUUUCUUUGUACUGUAGUUCCUGAGUUUUUCUUUAAGUAAUCGGAAUUUCUUAGCUUCACUCUCUCAUUCCUUCUGAAUUUUGGUAUUUGAAGGGACAGAUUUGAUAAGAAAAGGGAAGAGGUUUAGGAGUUUUAAUUAAAUAAUUAUGUUUGCUACUUUCACGACAUUGCCAAAAUUUAAUGGAAUUAUUCUUUUUAUUUUCCAAAUAUAAAAAAUAAAAAUAAAAUAAAUAAAAGGACCUACGGCAACGUUUGUUAAACGUUGCAAAAGCCUAUCAUUUGCAACGUUGCAACUUCAUCUCUAAUUACUUUUUAAAUAACCUUUGUAUCGAGCUUUCGACCGAUGACUACCAAGUUAGUUGACUUUAAGGCACUAAAAUUUUAGAUACCCUUGUAAGUUUAAUUACUAGAGUCAAGGGUUUAAAGAGAAGUUUCAAAUUUCAAAAGAAAUACGUACUUUGAUUAGUGCAAUGUCCAUUAUCAAACACCUAUUCAAGCAAACUGAUCUCCAACUUAAGACUUUCGCUCAAUUAAUCUAAGACAAUCCAUACAUAUGAAAUCCCCAUUCAAAUUCGUAAUUUCCUACAAUAGUAAAAUCACCCCCCAAACUAUACUAAAUUGGUUUAAGGAUCAUUAAUUUAAGUUAGUUCUGGGUAUAACAUCUAUAUUCAAUCAUUUAAUCUAUCCAGCAUAUGAAUCAACUUAUUGGAUCAUGAUGCAAAACUCAAUUCUAGUGUGCAUAUAAUAUCAAGUUUUGCAAGGCUAAGUAUCAAUUAUUUAAGCAUGUAACCUAUCUACAGUUUAUAUAUCAAUACCAAGCCCUUGUUUGAGCCCCAUUUUAGAGAAAGAAUGUAUUUUUGAAUAGUAGAUUGAUAGAGAAUGUGUGAUUAAAAAUUAAGAAAAAGUUUUUGAUUUACGUGUAAUAUUAUUUUAUUGAAAAAUGUGUAGUUGAAAAUGAGUUUCCAAAAAUAAAUUUUUAGAAAAAUGGAGCUUAAACAAGGACCAAGUCUCAAAUUAAAUCAUCAUUACCGGCCAGACUAUUUAACCCACACAAGCACACAACCUAAUAAAAGAAAAUAUUUUUGAAUUUCUUCAAAUUUUUAGAAUCUUUUUUUUUUUCUUUUUUAAUUUUUUCAUGUAUACAAAAGCAGUGCUAAAAACAUACUCAUUAAAACACACAAAAACAUGUAAAAAUAAACAAAAACUCAAAAGUUUUCAGUGAACUGCUUUGUAGUUUACUCAAAUAGAGAUGAAGAAGCACUUCUAGCCUUCAAAACCCGAAUCACUUCAGACCCUUAUGGCAUCUUGGCCGAUAACUGGCAGACUACUGCGUCAAUUUGCAACUGGAUUGAUGUUUCUUGCACUGAGCAUAACCCUGUUGAUGAUAAGCCGAAAAUCAUACAGACAACUACACAAGAGCAAAAAUUCAUUAGGCAUUUCAUGGAGAAGGAUUUCUUACCAAGAAAUUCAAGAAGCAACAAAUGCCUUCAGUGAAAUUAACAUACUUGGAAGUGGAACUUUUGGUUCAGUUUAUGAAGGAACACUUUUUGAUGGAUUGAAUGUUGCAGUAAAAGUAUUCAAUUUCUAGUCAGAAAGAGUAACCAAGAGUUUUGAUAUACAGAGUGAAGUAUUGAGCACCAUUCGCCAUAGGAAUUUAAUCAAAACCAUUGGCUGUUGCAGUAAAACUGAGGUCAAAGCCUUGAUACUGGAGUAGAUGCCUAAUGGGAGCCUGCAGAAAUGGUUAUAUUCACAAAUAUUUCCUGGACAUGCUAAAAAGAUUAAAUAUAGCAACUGAUGUUGCAUUGGCUUUAGAAUAUCUGCAUCAUUAUGUGACAUUCAGUCAUUCACUGUCCUUAUUGUGAUUUAAAGCCCAGAAAUGUCCUUCUUGAUGAAGAUGUGGUUGGUGCACGUUGCUGAUUUUGGUAUAGCCAAACUCUUCGGUCAAGGGGAGUCAAUGGCUCAAACGAAUAUAUGGCACCAGGUUGUGUUCCUUACUGAGAUUCAGAAUGUUCUGAAUUUAUUUAUAUUCAAAUAAACUUGGGAAUUUUUCAACUGAUUCUCAGCUUUCAAUUCUGUCAACUGUUCUUGUAAAUGUUAAAUGCCAAUGUAGAAAAUGGAUCUAGAAGGAUAUGUACACGAGGAAGAAGCGAAUAGAUGAAAUAUUUGGUGAAAAAAUGAGCUUGAAAAGC